AUCCAACUGUCGAGUCCCAGUUAGGACGAAACGCGCGUCAAACUGGAU
RNAcentral lists this non-coding RNA (48 nucleotides) under Schistosoma mansoni. The record is from RNAcentral. Lineage: Eukaryota; Metazoa; Platyhelminthes; Trematoda; Strigeidida; Schistosomatidae.